GACGAACGCUGGCGGCGUGCUUAACACAUGCAAGUCGACCGCUGAAGCUUGGUGCUUGCACUGGGUGGAUGAGUGGCGAACGGGUGAGUAAUACGUGAGUAACCUGCCCUUGACUCUGGGAUAAGCCUGGGAAACUGGGUCUAAUACUGGAUAUGACCUCCUGUCGCAUGGUGGGGGGUGGAAAGGGUUUGUACUGGUUGUGGAUGGGCUCACGGCCUAUCAGCUUGUUGGUGGGGUAAUGGCCUACCAAGGCGACGACGGGUAGCCGGCCUGAGAGGGUGACCGGCCACACUGGGACUGAGACACGGCCCAGACUCCUACGGGAGGCAGCAGUGGGGAAUAUUGCACAAUGGGCGCAAGCCUGAUGCAGCGACGCCGCGUGAGGGAUGACGGCCUUCGGGUUGUAAACCUCUUUCAGCACGGAAGAAGCGAAAGUGACGGUACGUGCAGAAGAAGCGCCGGCUAACUACGUGC
This 474-nucleotide ribosomal RNA is filed under the name Kocuria marina. Its description in RNAcentral is "bacterial SSU rRNA". It matches the Rfam family "Bacterial small subunit ribosomal RNA", at positions 28 to 508 of the family's 1533-position model. The record is from RNAcentral. Lineage: Bacteria; Bacillati; Actinomycetota; Actinomycetes; Micrococcales; Micrococcaceae.